Non-coding RNA from Macaca mulatta (Rhesus monkey), 303 nucleotides. The record is from RefSeq and is a predicted model, not a curated record. Lineage: Eukaryota; Metazoa; Chordata; Mammalia; Primates; Cercopithecidae.
CUCAAGUCUGUAAUCCCAGCACUUUGGGAGGCCAAGCCACAGACUUAUAACUCAUGUAAGCUGUUUCUCAAAUGUCUGCCCUGUGGUGCUGGUGAGAGCCGGAUGAAAAUGCACAGAGUGACACAACCUGGCCACCACCACCAGAAGUAAACAGCUCAGUGAUUCUCGUCUAUUCUCUCACAGCUACACACCAGCGCAAACACACACCCGAAACUGUCUUGUGUGGCAUUUGUCCAGUUGAAAAAGAACACCUUAGACUUAACUUUUAAAGUGUCUGUAAUAAAAACAUAAACUUCCAUUUUC